UAUCCUUCAAGAUAUAAGCAGUAAAAGGUCAGUCUCUCUCUUAGGGGCCCAGGAAAACGUUCGAGAAGAAUAGAAAUGAAAUCAAUCCUUUGAUGUCUUCGCUUCUUUCGCUACUAAUGCCAGGGUUCCUGACGACAUUUUCGUCGCUAACGCCUUCAAAGAAGAGGAGCUAUACGGGACAAGACAGAUCACAGAAGCCGACACCGACUUGGUUUGUACUGAGCUGAGCCGAGAAAGAACACACCCAUCAAAUCUCCCGGCGAAUGACGUCACCAACAUGGCGUCCUUAGGACUGACGGUGACGUCACGACUCAUAACAAAGAUGGCGGCGGCGCGAGACGGUGAUAUAUCGCUGUGGCUCCAUAAUAAACUCGGCACGUCGGCUGAUACGUGGUCUGAGGGCUCGAUUUGCUCCCAGUUAAAUGUCGAAGUCCUCCGAAACAUCAAGGAGUGCUUCGUAGAGCUGCAGACGCAAGUGAAGUUGAAAUUGCUGUUGUCGUUCUUUCACAUCCCGAAGCGCAAUGUUGAGGAGUGGAGAUCUGAACUGGAAGAAAUUAUGGAAGUGGCUGUGUUGGACAGUGAAACCUGGGUGCAAUGUUGGCAGAAAUUAUGAGAACUUGCCCCUCAAACUGGUAAUCUUAACUUGGACAUUAGGGAGCCACCAGAAAAUCAACGUAUCACUCAUGAUCUGACAACUGAGUUAAGAAAAUUAGUCAAAAAACAUAGUGAACUUGGUUUACUACCAAUGGAGUGUAAUUACCUUAAUAGAAAUGCUUUUUUGGCUGCAGCUGGAAAUCAGGUAUGUUUCUUGAAAAUA
This is a long non-coding RNA of Macrobrachium nipponense, 817 nucleotides long. RefSeq lists it as uncharacterized. NCBI's taxonomy places the organism in Eukaryota, Metazoa, Arthropoda, Malacostraca, Decapoda, Palaemonidae. The transcript has 4 exons. The record is from RefSeq and is a predicted model, not a curated record.